Molecule: long non-coding RNA, 317 nt
Filed under: Trifolium pratense (red clover)
Lineage: Eukaryota; Viridiplantae; Streptophyta; Magnoliopsida; Fabales; Fabaceae
Description: long non-coding RNA (TPRA_LNC011905)
Source: RNAcentral
ACAUAUGUACAAAAUUAGAACCAUAGUCUUUCUUUUGAUUUGGGGAAUUACAUUGAACACUAAAGAUGAGAAGUAGUAGGGUGCUUAUGCUCAAGGGAAACAUACAUAACAUAAUUAUAGGAAGGUUCGGGAACACAAAAGGUAACAUUAUCGUCGAGACUCACGCCAUGAACGAUGCACAAAUCAACCCAACCGCCGGAUACCUUGCAUGUGAGUUUACCAUCAGGAUCAACACCAAAAGUCAACUUGCAAGGAUAGCGUUCACCUCCACAAUCGACCAAAACUAUAUUUGAAUGAGUAAAGGCAAAAACAAAUUC